CGGCGAUUCAUCGUAGAUAUAUAUAUGAGUUCACUUCAGGCGCCGGAGGUGGUGGAGGAGCAGUCGCAGCAGUCGGCGGCGGGCUGCUGCUCCACCUCGCGCCUGUGGAAGCUGCGGUGGCACCCGCAGGCGGCGCACGCGAGCGCCGCCGCCGUGCCGUCCGCGCCCGCCGCCAUGAACUCGCGGCACCCGUCCACGGCGUGCCCGCCCAGGGACGCCGCGUGGUUGCGCUGGCACUCGCGGUACCGCACCACCUUCGCGCCCCCCUCCUCCUCCUGCUUGCUCCGCGCCGCCGCGCCGCCGUUCGACCGCCGGCCUUGCUGAGGCCCCAUGACGUGUAGAGAUAUAUAAAUUUAUCUACUGGCGCGCGCCGAGCGAUCGAUCGAUCGAGCGAGCGAGCGAGCUGGAAGAAGAUCAGAGCGUACUUAUGUAGGAA
RNAcentral lists this unclassified non-coding RNA (436 nucleotides) under Zea mays. RNAcentral's name for it is "misc RNA Zm00001eb438890". The record is from RNAcentral. Lineage: Eukaryota; Viridiplantae; Streptophyta; Magnoliopsida; Poales; Poaceae.